This 2778-nucleotide long non-coding RNA is filed under the name Mytilus galloprovincialis (Mediterranean mussel). The record is from RNAcentral. Lineage: Eukaryota; Metazoa; Mollusca; Bivalvia; Mytilida; Mytilidae.
UUUUUUACCAUUUUAUUCUUUUACAUUUUCAAACCACUUUAAACAAAUUUAGACUUUUUCCAACUUAGGAAAACAUAAGGGUAUUUGUUUUGGUUGUGUUUAGAUUUUGAGCUAUUCAUAACUUAGUAUUAUUGUUGUUUGUUUAUUUGCUCAUUUAUUUAUUUUGAAAAAUGCAUACCAUUAUUAGUUUAUUUGCCUAAAUAUCCCGGUAUUUCAUUUGUAUACAUUAAUAAAAUGAAUGCAAAUUUUGCAAGUUCUAAGAAUUAAGAAUUUGAGUGACUGCAUAUUUUGGCAUGAUGCAUUGAAACUGUUUUUGCUCUACUAUAGAAUGGGUUGCACAAGAAUCAUUUAACAUUAAAUGAUGUUUAAUUUUAGUAUCCAAUUAAUUUGUUGAUUUGUUUAUGAUGUAAUAAACAACUAAAAUUAAAAUAUCAUUUAACGUUUAUUCACAGUUUUGUACCCCAUUCCAAAUCACUUGCUUUUUUAUAACUUACAAAUGACAAAUUGUGCAUUCAUCUCUUAUGUACAGAUACAAAUGAAGAAAAAAGGCAUGUAGUAAAUUUGAUAAAGAAAUUAUUAAAUGUCAUAAUGGAUUAUUUUUAAGUUAUGGGGAAUUUCACUACUGUGAUUUUGUAUUUUUUUAACAAUAUUCUUUUACUGUUUAUGUUUUUAGUUAUACUUGUAUGUUCAAUGUUUGUUGUCUUGAUGUGCUUUCGUCCUGGUUUCGUGCUUACAAAAUGUUUAUGCAUGGAUAGAUGUUGUAACCAAUUAAUUAAGAAAAAGCUAAAUCAAAAUCAAACUAAAAACUUUAAAGAAUUCAGUUCCACCAUUAAAUAAAACAUAACAUUUGAAUUAUACUUCCUUGUUCAGAAAUGUUUAUUUCAAUAAAAUCCAAAUGUGAACACAAUAUGUAAAACAUCAGCAAUAUGUACCUUAUCUACAUUGUGGGUCAAAGAUUGCAUUAGUUGCAAUCAAACCCUAUUGUCACUGGCUUGAUAGACAUCUUUCCAGGCCUCAUCUCUUAAAGGUAGACUGCAAACAACAUAUUUCAGUGAGGUAAACAUUCUUCAAAACAUAUCUAUACCCAUGUCAAGCAAUUUAUGACUGAUAUAAACACAGAUAUUCAAGUAUAUUUGUCAAGGAAACUACUUUACUGAAAAUAACAGAAUUUGUGCAUGGUGUACAGAUUUAUCUGUUCAAUAAAUAGGUUCAACAACAAUUUUGGAAAAAGUAAGAGAGCUCUUAUUAAAAAAAAUUCCUUCCAUUGCUUAAAACAAUACAAUGUUUACAUUUUAAGUGAAAAAAAAUCUUUACUCUUUAAUCCUUAUUAGCUGUUCAAUAACUAUUUAUUUUAUUCUAUAAUUUAUAAAAACACAUAUAGAUGAAAUAUGAUUUGGAUUUAUGUUUGGUUUAGUAAGUGAUUCCCUUUUUACGAUUUGUAAUCUUCAACUUUUAGCCACUCACAGCCUUUUAUUCAGAAUUGCUAGUUUCAUUAGGCAUAAAUCACAACCUUCAGAGUUAACGUCACCUUUUGACUGCCACAAUCUUUUUAAGGAAAGUAGAUUGUAACCUUAGAAUAAUUGAAAUGAUUUUAAUAUGUGUUCAGGCCACACAAUACUGAUGCAUCAAGAUCAAACAUUGAAUAUAUUUGUAUAGAUAGUGAAAUUUUAUUCACAAACCCCAAUACAGUUAUAGUAAUGAUUCAAAAGUGACAGAUAAAUAGACGUGUUUUCAGAUAUCAAUAUCAAAGUACACUGGUCACUCUGGGGAAAACAUUGUUUAUCUUUUAUGUUAGUGCUAUUUUAAAGGAUCUCAAAGACCGUCUUAAAUAACUGUCUUCUUUCUUCAAGAUGUUGCAGACUUCAGAAUAUUUCUUAUGAUAAUUUAUAGAACCUUAGUCUUCCAAAGUUUACAGUUUGAAUUUUCUUUUGUUAAGAAGUUUGUUUAGCAAACAAGUCUGUAUUGGGGUUUGGCAAACUCUGAAGCAUAUGAUGAAACUUAUUUUGACUAUAAAAUACCUUUCUCAUGUGCUCCUCAGUCUUAUUCUUUCAAACAAAGGGAAGAAGUGUUCUAACUAAUCAUCUAGAAUCAUAUAACAUAGAUUGUAUUGUCUUUCACACAGUAUCAUAAGUUUUUAUCAAGAGUGUAUUGUCAUUCAUCCAUAAUCACAUAAUUUUAAUCAUGAUUUUAUUAUUUCACUAGCAGAUUCACAUCAUUUAAACAUGAUCAUGAUUUAUUGUUUCACAAGCAGAAUCACAUCAUCUAAACAUGAUCAUGAUUAUUGUUAUUCAUGCAGAAUCACAUUAUAUAAUCAUGAUUUUAUUGUGAACAAGGUGGACAGUGUAAUGCUUCAGAUAUCAAGUAUUUUUAAGGAAAUAAAAAGUUUUUAAAUAAUAAUGGUCGUACUGUUGCUGUUUUAAAUGCCUUUCAAAAUAAACCAUAUAGUGAGCUAACAUUGCCCUUGACUUGGAAAGUUCAAACCAGAAUACAAGCCGUCUUAUUUAGGGCAAAACAAUAACAUAACAACACAUAUGAUACCACAGCAAUAAAGAAAUUUGAUAGGAGUCAAUGUGUCAGUGAGUGCUCAACCCUCUCUUGACUCUUAAAAUCGUUUGGAAAUGGUAGAUUGGCAGGAAAAUAAAUGAUCAAAUAAAUGAAAGACAAAUACAAGAAAAAUAUUUUGUGACAUCAAAUGUAUGUGGAUUACACACAUAUGACAAAAGCAGUAAUCUUAAUUUAUAUAAAGAAAGCAUGAAAAUAAAGAUGGUUAAUAAAGGC